GAUGAACGCUGGCGGCGUGCCUAAUACAUGCAAGUCGAGCGAACGGACGAGAAGCUUGCUUCUCUGAUGUUAGCGGCGGACGGGUGAGUAACACGUGGAUAACCUACCUAUAAGACUGGGAUAACUUCGGGAAACCGGAGCUAAUACCGGAUAAUAUUUUGAACCGCAUGGUUCAAAAGUGAAAGACGGUCUUGCUGUCACUUAUAGAUGGAUCCGCGCUGCAUUAGCUAGUUGGUAAGGUAACGGCUUACCAAGGCAACGAUGCAUAGCCGACCUGAGAGGGUGAUCGGCCACACUGGAACUGAGACACGGUCCAGACUCCUACGGGAGGCAGCAGUAGGGAAUCUUCCGCAAUGGGCGAAGGCCUGACGGAGCAACGCCGCGUGAGUGAUGGAGGUCUUCGGAUCGUAAAACUCUGUUAUUAGGGAAGAACAUAUGUGUAAGUAACUGUGCACAUCUUGACGGUACCUAAUCAGAAAGCCACGGCUAACUACGUG
This 497-nucleotide ribosomal RNA is filed under the name uncultured bacterium. RNAcentral's name for it is "partial 16S ribosomal RNA". It matches the Rfam family "Bacterial small subunit ribosomal RNA", at positions 28 to 507 of the family's 1533-position model. The record is from RNAcentral.